GCCUGGGUGGUGGAAUUGGUAGACACGCCAUCUUGAGGGGGUGGUGGCCUUUUGGUCGUGCAAGUUCGAGUCUUGUUCCAGGCAC
Molecule: transfer RNA, 85 nt
Filed under: Bacteroidetes bacterium MED-G17
Lineage: Bacteria; Pseudomonadati; Bacteroidota
Description: tRNA-Leu(gag)
Rfam family: tRNA
About the family: Transfer RNA (tRNA) molecules are approximately 80 nucleotides in length. Their secondary structure includes four short double-helical elements and three loops (D, anti-codon, and T loops).
Source: RNAcentral